GGGCUCCUACAUGCAUGAAACCGGGGGUGGAUGGUCAACUGUCUGGGCGGGGAGCGAACUGGUCGGCUUUAAUAGGGGGGGCCAAUGACGGUACCGUAAGAAUAAGCACCGGCUAACUACGUGCCAGCAACCGCGGUAAUACGUAAGGUGCGAGCGUUAAUCGGAAUUACUGGGCGUAAAGCGUGCGCAGGCGGUUAUGUAAGACAGAUGUGAAAUCCCCGGGCUCAACCUGGGAACUGCAUUAGUGACUGUAUAGCUAGAGUGCGGCAGAGGGGGAUGGAAUUCCGCGUGUAGCAGUGAAAUGCGUAAAUAUGCGGAGGAACACCGAUGGCGAAGGCAAUCCCCUGGGCCUGCACUGACGCUCAUGCACGAAAGCGUGGGGAGCAAACAGGAUUAAAUACCCUGGUAGUCCACGCCCUAAAAGAUGUCAACUGGUUGUUGGGUCUCACUGACUCAGUAACGAACCUAAACCCGUGAAGUAGACCGCCUGGGGAGUACGGCCGCCAAGGUUAAACUCAAA
Molecule: ribosomal RNA, 520 nt
Filed under: uncultured prokaryote
Description: bacterial SSU rRNA
Rfam family: Bacterial small subunit ribosomal RNA
Source: RNAcentral